GAUGAAGAACGUAGCGAAAUGCGAUAAGUAGUGUGAAUUGCAGAAUUCAGUGAAUCACCGAAUCUUUGAACGCACAUUGCGCCCCUUGGUAUUCCAUGGGGCAUGCCUGUUCGAGCGUCAUUUGUACCUUCAAGCUUUGCUUGGUGUUGGGUGUUUGUCUCGCCUUUGCGUGUAGACUCGCCUUAAAAUAAUUGGCAGCCGGCGUAUUGAUUUCGGAGCGCAGUACAUCUCGCGCUUUGCACUCAUAACGACAGCGUCCAAAAGUACAUUUUACACUCUUGACCUCGGAUCAGGUAGGGAUACCCGCUGAACUUAAGCAUAUCAAUAAGCGGAGGA
RNAcentral lists this unclassified non-coding RNA (336 nucleotides) under soil metagenome. RNAcentral describes it as "partial contains 5.8S ribosomal RNA, internal transcribed spacer 2, and large subunit ribosomal RNA". The stretch from base 1 to 120 matches the Rfam family "5.8S ribosomal RNA", at positions 35 to 154 of the family's 154-position model. The record is from RNAcentral.